UAUAUAUUAUUAUUAUAAAGUUAAAAAAAAAAUCUAUUGCGGCCAUUGCAGUAUUAUAAUGUACUGUAUAGCAGCCACUUGCUGCAGCCAAACAUGGGGUUGCAUUGCUAAGUAAUGAGGGGUGCUAAAGACCCCCUAACGAAAUGAGAAAGAGAGAGAAAUAAAUUUUUCGAAAGAGCAUAAUUAUACUUCUUUUAAAUGAGUUUUUUUUUAUGAACUAAUAUUACAGGCGCGAAUUGUCUACAACAUGAAAUAAAAAGAUAAAAGUAAUAAACAAGUUAAUAUGAAGAAAUCCAAACUUUCAUAGAGAUUUUUAUGGUACUUCAAAGGAUUAAUAACUUCUAAUACAUAAUUCCAUUAUUGAGAUUGAUGCGAGUUUAAAAACUAGCUUAAAUAUUAAACUUAAAAUUAAAGAAUAUGAGUAAAACUAAACACCACUAUUAGCUAAAUAACUAAAUCCUAGUUUCUUGGCAUCAAGUACGCAUUAACCACAACUAAUAUCAUAAAUAGGGGUGAGCAUAAACCCACAACCCAUGGGUUUACCCAAACCCAAACCAAAUAAAAUGGUUUGGGUUGGGUAAAUCAUGAAAAUGGGUUAGAUGUGGGUUUUAUAUAGAAAACUAUUUUCAUUAUGGGUUGGGUAUGGUUUACUCAUGGGUCAUGGACAAAACCCCAACACUCAAAUUUUUCAAAUGAAAUAAAUGAAAACAAAAUAAAUGAGCACAAAUAAGUGAAAGGCCACUAUUAAAUUUUUUAUGGCAUGAUCAAUUGUCAACAGUUGGAAAAUGAAAAUAACAUGUAAAAAUAAAUUUAAAUUAAAUAAAUAUUGUUGUAAAUAGCAUAAUUUUUUUUUCUUAUUUACAAAAAUAAUUCCUCCCACAUGGAAGGAUCAUCAUAGAAAGAUCAGGAGACUCUACUAGUGAUCAAUAAUAACUCGACUUGGACUAGGUCCAAUAUGCUAGAUGGCGGCUAAUUUUUGGUCAAUAAUUGAAUGUAAUGCCCAUAUUAGGCCCUGUACAAAACUUUACUUACCAUAUAAUGAAAUUAGAAUAUAAAGCAUACACACUAUAUAAUAUCAGAAUGUAAAUAAAAUUAAACAUAUAAGUAGACAACAUAACGCAAAACUAUCAAAACGAUAAAUAAAAAUAAAUAUUGCAUAAUUAAAUAAAUAACAAGUGGCAAAAUUUAUUAUUAGAUUGUUAAUGUCAUGUUUGUGAAAGUUUAUUAUUAAAGUGUACGUUCUUAUUUAUUGAGAAAUAAUAAUUUUUGUGAUUAAACUUUAUUUUGA
Molecule: long non-coding RNA, 1288 nt
Filed under: Citrus x clementina
Lineage: Eukaryota; Viridiplantae; Streptophyta; Magnoliopsida; Sapindales; Rutaceae
Description: Citrus clementina (C. clementina) long non-coding RNA (CCLE_LNC003452)
Source: RNAcentral